UGCUCCAUCUACAACAGAGGCCUGAGGGGCUCCAAUGUGAGUGGACCAUGGUGUGGAGAUUGAACUUAAUGGACAAUCGUGACCAUCCAACUAGGAGAUCAUGGCCAUCAAAUUCACAGAAGAAAAUUAAUUCAUCAAUGGGUCCAAGUUCAAUGGCUGAUAUCAGAUGUUUAAGAUUGUCACAGUGGAGGCCUAUAGGUUGUUUGGACUGUGGAGACAUCACCAUCUACUUUUGGGGCCGGAUCCAUUAGAAGCUUUGUAGGUUAUGCUUAAUCUACAAUGCAAUAUGUGGGGCCCACCAAAAUCAAAUCCAUCCAUCACAUGCCCCAACAGCAUCUCCUCGAGCCCAAAAACUAGGCUGUCCAAACCUAAGGCCGUUCCAGAGGAAAUUGUUGGGUGUGGGUUCCCACCACUAAAAUCUUCCAAAUUGGAUGUGGGGCCCAGCGUGUUUUCUAUAUGCCAUCCAAUGCAUCCAUUCAGACUUGCACCCCACUAUAAACGGACACCCCAAAAAUUAGGCCGUUCCAAAACUCAAGUUGUCCACAUCAUAUCCAAGUGAGUUUCUUUUGAGUGCCAAGGAGAACAUGAAGAGGUCCAAAGGUAGUUAAUUAGAUUGGAUGUCAUGCACAAAUCAAAAUGGGCCCACACCUAGAAUUGUAGGUCAAACUCAAGCUAAAAAGCUUUGUAGUGGAUCAGCCUACUUUUAAUGAAUGGUGCAAAACACACAUGCUAGAUUAACACUUUUGUUUAUUGCUUUUUCUAUCUGUCCUCCUUGUUCUUUUUAUUAUUAUUUUUCUCACUUUCUAGCCUGUUUCCCAUGAUGUUUAUGAUUUUUAAUUUUUUUUUAAUUGAAGGUCAUUAAUGAAGCUCUCAGAUGUGGGAACAUAGUCAAGUUUGUGCACCGAAAGGCCCUCAAGGAUGUCAGAUUUAAAGAUUAUUCAAUUCCAUGUGGAUGGAAGGUCCUCCUAGUUUUCAGU
Molecule: long non-coding RNA, 977 nt
Organism: Magnolia sinica
Lineage: Eukaryota; Viridiplantae; Streptophyta; Magnoliopsida; Magnoliales; Magnoliaceae
Exons: 2
Source: RefSeq, a predicted model, not a curated record